GAUGAAGAACGUAGCAAAAUGCGAUAAGUAAUGUGAAUUGCAGAAUUCAGUGAAUCAUCGAAUCUUUGAACGCACAUUGCGCCCGCCAGUAUUCUGGCGGGCAUGCCUGUUCGAGCGUCAUUUCAACCCUCAAGCUCAGCUUGGUGUUGGGACUCGCGGUAACCCGCGUUCCCCAAAUCGAUUGGCGGUCACGUCGAGCUUCCAUAGCGUAGUAAUCAUACACCUCGUUACUGGUAAUCGUUGCGGCCACGCCGUAAAACCCCAACUUCUGAAUGUUGACCUCGGAUCAGGUAGGAAUACCCGCUGAACUUAAGCAUAUCAAUAAGCGGAGGA
Molecule: unclassified non-coding RNA, 333 nt
Filed under: soil metagenome
Description: partial contains 5.8S ribosomal RNA, internal transcribed spacer 2, and large subunit ribosomal RNA
Rfam family: 5.8S ribosomal RNA (bases 1-120)
Source: RNAcentral